UGGGGAAUAUUGGACAAUGGGGGCAACCCUGAUCCAGCAAUGCCGCGUGUGUGAAGAAGGCCUGCGGGUUGUAAAGCACUUUAGUGGGGGAGGAAACGGAGGAUUCGAAUGGAGUCUUUCGAUGACGUUACCCCAAGAAUAAGCACCGGCUAACUCUGUGCCAGCAGCCGCGGUAAUACAGAGGGUGCGAGCGUUAAUCGGAAUUACUGGGCGUAAAGCGCGCGUAGGUGGUUCGUUAAGUUGGAUGUGAAAUCCCCGGGCUGAACCUGGGAACUGCAUCCAAAACUGGCGAGCUAGAGUAGGGCAGAGGGUGGUGGAAUUUCCUGUGUAGCGGUGAAAUGCGUAGAUAUAGGAAGGAACACCAGUGGCGAAGGCGACCACCUGGGCUCAUACUGACACUGAGGUGCGAAAGCGUGGGGAGCAAAC
Molecule: ribosomal RNA, 426 nt
Filed under: uncultured bacterium
Lineage: Bacteria
Description: bacterial SSU rRNA
Rfam family: Bacterial small subunit ribosomal RNA
Source: RNAcentral